CCUUUUUUCUUUUUUCAUUUUUAGACAGGGUUUCCCUAAAUUGCUCCAUCUGGCCUCAAACUUAGUAAUCCUUCUGCCUCAGCCUCCUGAAUGACUGGGAUUACAAGUGUGGGGUACCACGCUCAGCUUGGUGAAGGCCUUCUUAUUUCAUCCUUACAUAGUAGUAGAAGAAAAGAGAGUGAAUUCUCUCACUCAAGUUUUUUUUUUUCUUCCUGUACCAGGAAUUGAACAACCCAUUGGCAUUUACCAAUGAGCCAUAUCCCCAGCUCUUUUUAUUUUUAAUUUUGAGACAGGAUCUUACUAAGUAACUUGCUAUCUUCCUGACUCAGCCUCCCAAGUCACCACCUGCACCCAGCUACCUCAAGACUUAUUAAGAGUCCUGAUGCCGUCCGGGAGGGCUCUGCCCUCUUGAUUUAUCACCUCCUAAAGGUCCUACCUCUUAAUACUAUCACACUGACAACCAAGUUUCAACAUAUUAAUUUAGGGGAUACAUUCAGACCAUAGCAAAGUUAAGAGAAAAGAGAGAUCACCUUUGCUGUGUAGAAAUGAAGGAAUGGUAUUUGAACUGACACUGAAGAAUUUUUAUAAAAGUUCACCAUCUGGGAAUGGCCUGCACAAUAGCUUGUUUUUUAGAGAAUCUGAGUGAAAAUCAAUAAAUAAAGUUGUUUUUAAUAGAGCACAAGGGUCUAGGGAAUAGCUCAGUGGCUGAGUGCUUGCCUAGCAUGUACAAAGUCCUGGGUUUAGUCCUCAGCACUGCAAAAAGAAAAAAAAAAUAAAGGCCAAGAUUCAUAAGAUGGUAAGAAAAUAAAAAUGAAAGUAAAAACUGAGAAUAUUAGGAAGAAAUUUAUUUUCAGUAUCAUGAUAUUUCCAGGAUUAAGGAGGAAUUUAUUUUUCCUUCCAUGAAAACUUUAGUUCUUUUGAUUCUCUUCUUUGGCUUUUAGAAAAGAAACUGAUAUAGUAAUGAUCUUAGGUAUCAAAUAAUGAGAAUAGGGGAGAGAUUAAAGUCUCACUAGACAUAUUUAUGCUUUAAUAUUUGCUUUUGAUAAUAUUAAAUUUAAAUUAUUAGAUUUUUUAAAUAUUUUUUUAAUUGUAGUUGGACACAAUACCUUUAUUUUAUUUACUUUUAUGUGGUGCUGAGGAUCGAACCCAGGGCCUUGCAUGUGCUAGGCAAGUGCUCUACUGCUGAGCCACAACCCCAACCCUAUUAGAUGGAUUUUAAAACAGACUUCAGGGUUAGUAAAGAAAACACAGGCCCUUAUUGCAUUGUGUUCCAUGCUCCUCAAGUCACAGGGUCCUUGGGGCUAGGGGUGUGGUUCAGUGGUAGAACUCUUGCCAGGCUUUUCUGGUUUCCAUCCCCAGUAUCAUACACCACACACACACACACACACACACACACACGUACACACUUGAGUGCGAAUGCACACACACCUGCACACACAAGUCACAUGAUCCUGAUGUUUUUUUUCUUCCCUUGAAAAUUCCUAUCAUUCUGAGACUGUCCAAUUCUAUGGGAGACAACACUCAGCAAAGGAAAAACAUACCCCACACUUACAUGAAGCCCCUUCAGGGCAGUUCCUAAACAUCAGAAUGCAUUCCCUGAUUUUGUUUUGUUUUAUUUAUUUAUUUUGGUACUGGGAGUGGCUCUACUACUUUGAUCCCAGGAGUGGCUCUACUACUGGGCUACAUCCCUGUUUUUAUUUUUUAAAUUUUGAGAUAGGGUCUCACUAAGUUGUUGAGGCUAGCUUCAAACUUUCUGUUCUGCUUCAGCCCCCCAAGUAGCUGGCAAGUACCACUACACCUGUCUAUUUCCUGGUUUUGAAAAAGGAACCCCUAUCCCGUUGCUUGAUAAAACAUAGAAGGUCAAUUUUUAAAGUUUUCUCUAUUCUUUAAGAUUUUACUUUAGAAAAGAAAGAUAAUAUAUGGAAUUGAACUGGGUAGAGAAAAUAGAUUUAAGGCAAUGCUGAAAUUCUUAGAGAAUUUAAUUUACAAAAAUUACAAUAUGAGGUUACAUUUUAUUUUCCUCUGGGGUAUAAAGAGCACUGUGAACUAUCACAUUCUAUGUUAUCAAUUCAUAUUUGACUUUUAUCUUUUAGUGGUAUCUUGAGGGACAUAAUAUUUCUAACAGAUUAAAAAUAAGGGAAAAUUUACAAGUCAAAUAACUAAAAACGUGAUUAACAAACAACAUUGGGGGUAAAAUUCAGUAGUAAAGCGCUUACCUAGCAUGCAUAAGGCUCUGGGUUCAAUCCCCAUCACUAAAGAAAAAAAAGGGGAAUGAUAUUAUGAGUGCACAUACCUACAUUCACGUGCUACUUUCACCAGUUACAAUCUAAACAGAGUUUGGUCCUGUCUCUAGAAACCAGGUCUUCCUUUUCUCUAAGCAAUAGGUUCAUUGGGCAGCUUCUUCUGAGGUCUAACUAAGCCCUGAGGAUCUGAAGUAGAACCUUCUAGAAGACAUUGCUUUUGAUGCCCAACAGACCUCAGCAUCUCUUCUUGAGUACUCUAUGGAAACUUCCCUGGGAAGCAUCUGGGGUCACCGUUAGCAGAUCCGAUUCAUGCUGCUUGUAUCUCCAGCAUGUCAAGCCCUCUCCAAUCUCUAAACCACUCACAUCCAGGAAGGCUUCCUACUAGGCCCCAUGAGGCUAAGUCACCACAAGUCAGGCAGCUAUCAGCCUGGAAAAACCAUCCAGUGGUGAGUUGUACUCUGGUGUUUAUUUUUUUCCCCAUUCUCAUAAGGAAGUAAAUCAAUCUCUCCCACACAACUGAGAGCUUGAAGAAAGGGAAAGUCCAUUCUGUUUGUCCAUUUGCCUAUGCUAGUGCCCUGACCCCUUUCUUUGCUAGUGAAUGAAUACAAGAAAUGAGGUCAAAUGAUAUCCCACUUCUUUUGAUUUCUGGCUUGAUUCUAGAACAAGGAGCAAGGAAAUAUUAGAAUCUAAUAAAACCUCAAACGGAUUUUGGUUUUGACUGUUUUUGUAGUUCUGGUAUUUCAC
Molecule: long non-coding RNA, 2987 nt
Filed under: Marmota monax (woodchuck)
Lineage: Eukaryota; Metazoa; Chordata; Mammalia; Rodentia; Sciuridae
Source: RNAcentral